GAGACUGCUCUGUACUACUGUGCUCUGAGGCCCACAGUGACAGGAAACCCAGAAACACUACAAAAACCUGACCAUAAUAAAUUCCUACUAGUAAACACCAUGUAAUAGGAGGAGCUAAGAUGAGAGGUGGAGAGAUGAUUCUCCUCUAUCUGACUGGAACAGUGGGACGUCUUCAGUUUUUCUUCCUGAUAACACACUGUUACACCCAUCACCAUGUUUCUCUACCCAGUGUUUCUCCUCUCUGCACAUGUUGUUGAUGGUGAUAUACAGGCUGAGAUGGACAUGGAAGAGAGAGAGAGGAUCUCUACCUCUUACUGUAACUCACAGUCACUCUCAGUGUGUUCUGUAUAACCAUGGUACUCUGUGUGAUCAUCUGGCUGGUUCUUGAUGUAUUCUGCUUUGGUGACAGUAAUGGUCAGAUCAUUAAGCCAAUCUCUUCUGCUGAAGUGAGAGACUCUGCAAUGUACUAUUGUGCUGUGACAGGAACCCAGAAACUCUGUACUAAAACCUUUCCUUAUACUUUCAAAUGUAGAUAUAAAAUGUAAUUGAUUUAAUGUAGUCAGUAGGAGGAGCUAAAGCUAAGGAUUAGAUAAUGAAUCAUUGUGAUAAGACAUGAUUCUCCCUACAUUAAUAAAAUCAAUCUAAGCAGGAGGAAGAGCAGCAACAGUUGAAGACUCUUCAAACACAGUAUGUGGAAAGAACAGUGAUCAGUCUGAUUUGUUGCCUUUUAUUGUCAGUUUGUCUAACUUACAAAGAACAUUGUUACUUUUUUCAAUUUUACUGUUCACAACAAUUACAGGUAAGAGACAGCAUUUGUUAUAUAAAUAUUGUCUAUUUUAUGUGUAUUUAAUAAUAAUAAUAAAAAUGCAGUAUCCAAGGAAAUUAUAUCAAUCUUCCAUGUGGAUUUCGGGUUUAUGUUUAAAUUCUGAAGAGGUAAUUACACCCUAUACUGAUGCAGUGCUGGCUUUGGACACGGACAGAGUUACUCUCUCUUGUAACUACACUGCUGGUGACACUCUUCAAUGGUAUCAACAAUAUCCCAAAUCACCACCACAGUUAUUGGUUAUGGAGUUAA
RNAcentral lists this long non-coding RNA (1075 nucleotides) under Salmo salar (Atlantic salmon). RNAcentral describes it as "lncRNA (ENSSSAG00000115704.1)". The record is from RNAcentral. Lineage: Eukaryota; Metazoa; Chordata; Actinopteri; Salmoniformes; Salmonidae.